This 497-nucleotide ribosomal RNA is filed under the name uncultured bacterium. RNAcentral's name for it is "partial 16S ribosomal RNA". It matches the Rfam family "Bacterial small subunit ribosomal RNA", at positions 28 to 507 of the family's 1533-position model. The record is from RNAcentral.
GAUGAACGCUGGCGGCGUGCCUAAUACAUGCAAGUCGAGCGAACAGACGAGGAGCUUGCUCCUCUGACGUUAGCGGCGGACGGGUGAGUAACACGUGGAUAACCUACCUAUAAGACUGGGAUAACUUCGGGAAACCUGAGCUAAUACCGGAUAAUAUAUUGAACCGCAUGGUUCAAUAGUGAAAGACGGUUUUGCUGUCACUUAUAGAUGGAUCCGCGCCGUAUUAGCUAGUUGGUAAGGUAACGGCUUACCAAGGCAACGAUGCGUAGCCGACCUGAGAGGGUGAUCGGCCACACUGGAACUGAGACACGGUCCAGACUCCUACGGGAGGCAGCAGUAGGGAAUCUUCCGCAAUGGGCGAAAGCCUGACGGAGCAACGCCGCGUGAGUGAUGAAGGUCUUCGGAUCGUAAAACUCUGUUAUUAGGGAAGAACAAAUGUGUAAGUAACUAUGCACGUCUUGACGGUACCUAAUCAGAAAGCCACGGCUAACUACGUG